RNAcentral lists this ribosomal RNA (267 nucleotides) under uncultured bacterium. RNAcentral describes it as "partial 16S ribosomal RNA". It matches the Rfam family "Bacterial small subunit ribosomal RNA", at positions 1234 to 1500 of the family's 1533-position model. The record is from RNAcentral.
CGUAAACAAAGGGAAGCGAGACGGUGACGUUAAGCAAAUCCCAGAAAUAACGUCCCAGUUCGGAUUGUAGUCUGCAACCCGACUACAUGAAGCUGGAAUCGCUAGUAAUCGCGAAUCAGAAUGUCGCGGUGAAUACGUUCCCGGGUCUUGUACACACCGCCCGUCACACCAUGGGAGUCGGAAAUGCCCGAAGUCAGUGACCCAACCGUAAGGAGGGAGCUGCCGAAGGCAGGUCCGGUGACUGGGGUGAAGUCGUAACAAGGUAUC